RNAcentral lists this ribosomal RNA (468 nucleotides) under uncultured bacterium. Its description in RNAcentral is "partial 16S ribosomal RNA". It matches the Rfam family "Bacterial small subunit ribosomal RNA", at positions 28 to 507 of the family's 1533-position model. The record is from RNAcentral.
GACGAACGCUGGCGGCGUGCUUAACACAUGCAAGUCGAACGGAAAGGCCCUGCUUUUGUGGGGUGCUCGAGUGGCGAACGGGUGAGUAACACGUGAGUAACCUGCCCUUGACUUUGGGAUAACUUCAGGAAACUGGGGCUAAUACCGGAUAGGAGCUCCUGCUGCAUGGGGGGGGUUGGAAAGUUUCGGCCGUUGGGGAUGGACUCGCGGCUUAUCGGCUUGUUGGUCGGGUAGUGGCUUACCAAGGCUUUGACGGGUAGCCGGCCUGAGAGGGUGAACGGCCACAUGGGGCCUGAGAUACGGCGCAGUCGCCUACGGGAGGCAGCAGGGGGGAGUAUUGCACAAUGGGCGGAAGCCUGAUGUGGCAACGCCGGGUGCGGGAUGACGUCUUUUGGGUUGUAAACCGCUUUCGCAUGUGACGAAGCGGGAGUGACGGUACUGAGUAAAGAAGCACCGGCUAACUACGUG